This 457-nucleotide ribosomal RNA is filed under the name uncultured bacterium. RNAcentral describes it as "bacterial SSU rRNA". It matches the Rfam family "Bacterial small subunit ribosomal RNA", at positions 791 to 1246 of the family's 1533-position model. The record is from RNAcentral.
UAGUCCACGCCGUAAACGAUGUCAACUAGUCGUCGGAUCCUUCGGGGUUUGGUGACGCAGCUAACGCGUGAAGUUGACCGCCUGGGGAGUACGGCCGCAAGGUUAAAACUCAAAGGAAUUGACGGGGACCCGCACAAGCGGUGGAGCAUGUGGUUUAAUUCGAUGCAACGCGAAGAACCUUACCUGCCCUUGACAUACUCGGAACUUUCCAGAGAUGGAUUGGUGCCUUCGGGAAUCGAGAUACAGGUGCUGCAUGGCUGUCGUCAGCUCGUGUCGUGAGAUGUUGGGUUAAGUCCCGCAACGAGCGCAACCCUUGUCCUUAGUUGCCAGCACGUAAUGGUGGGAACUCUAGGGAGACUGCCGGUGACAAACCGGGAGGAAGGUGGGGACGACGUCAAGUCAUCAUGGCCCUUAUGAAUUGGGGCUACACACGUGCUACAAUGGUGGAUACAAAGAG